GACGAACGCUGGCGGCGUGCUUAACACAUGCAAGUCGAACGGAAAGGCACUGCUUUUGUGGGGUGCUCGAGUGGCGAACGGGUGAGUAACACGUGAGUAACCUGCCCUUGACUUUGGGAUAACUUCAGGAAACUGGGGCUAAUACCGUAUAGGAGCUCCUGCUGCAUGGUGGGGGUUGGAAAGUUUCGGCGGGUGGGGAUGGACUCGCGGCUUAUCAGCUUGUUGGUGGGGUAGUGGCUUACCAAGGCAGUGACGGGUAGCCGGCCUGAGAGGGUGACCGGCGACAUGGGGACUGAGAGAGGGACCAGACUCCAACGGGAGGCAGCAGGGGGGAAUAUUGCACAACGAGCGGAAGCCGGAUGCAGCAACGCCGCGUGCGGGAUGCCGGCCUGUGGGUUGUGAACCGCUUUCGCUUGUGACGACGCGUGAGUGACGGUAAUGGGUAAAGAAGCACCGGCUAACUACGUG
This 468-nucleotide ribosomal RNA is filed under the name uncultured bacterium. RNAcentral describes it as "partial 16S ribosomal RNA". It matches the Rfam family "Bacterial small subunit ribosomal RNA", at positions 28 to 507 of the family's 1533-position model. The record is from RNAcentral.